RNAcentral lists this unclassified non-coding RNA (385 nucleotides) under uncultured fungus. RNAcentral's name for it is "partial contains small subunit ribosomal RNA, internal transcribed spacer 1, and 5.8S ribosomal RNA". The stretch from base 1 to 73 matches the Rfam family "Eukaryotic small subunit ribosomal RNA", at positions 1759 to 1831 of the family's 1831-position model. The record is from RNAcentral. Lineage: Eukaryota; Fungi.
ACAAACUUGGUCAUUUAGAGGAAGUAAAAGUCGUAACAAGGUUUCCGUAGGUGAACCUGCGGAAGGAUCAUUACCGAAAACAAAACGGCCCCGCGAUGCUGUUCGCUCUAAACAAGCGGCGCUCGCGGGGACGGACCCCUGUGAACGCGUUUCCGUCUUUGGUGUCCACACACGGUUUUCUCGAGCCGCGCUGUGGCCCAAUCUUUUUCAUUUACCCCAUCUCUUCUGAAUGCUGACUGAAGUAAAGUCGAGGUCUCCCCUGCGCAUGCGGGCUGGCGGCUUUCGGCGUGGUCACAGCACCUCCUUCGGGCGGGCUUGACGACAAUAACUUGUGACAACUUUUAACAACGGAUAUCUUGGUUCACGAAUCGAUGAAGAACGCAGC